This 263-nucleotide long non-coding RNA is filed under the name Linum usitatissimum (flax). RNAcentral describes it as "long non-coding RNA (LUSI_LNC000670)". The record is from RNAcentral. Lineage: Eukaryota; Viridiplantae; Streptophyta; Magnoliopsida; Malpighiales; Linaceae.
AUUAUCAUGUUCGUUCCAGGUUUGGAAUUUUGGAUUUGUCUCUUCUGGUGCUUUGAUUUUUUCAGUGAGGUAUCUUCGUUUUCCUUUUUAUGUGAUAUGCAUCUUCACGGUCUUAGACCAUUUGAGAUAAUUCUUCCCAUCCAGCCUAUGUGUGAUGAGGAAGCUCGAGUAGUCCGUCGUUGCUGCUGGUGCCACCGUGGUCGCGGUAUCUCCAGUCCCAGUACAGGAUCUAGUUCCUUUCCUGUGUGCAAUUGGAAGGUAGA